GUUGUAUGGUUAAGUGACUAAGCGUACACGGUGGAUGCCUUGGCAGUCAGAGGCGAUGAGAGACGUCGUCAUUUGCGAUAAGCCCAGAUUAUGUAGUAACAACCAUUUGAGUCUGGGCUUUCUGAAUGGGGAAACCCACGUGCAUCAGCACGUAUCCUCCCCUGAAUACAUAGGGUAAGGAGGCGAACCGGGGGAACUGAAACAUCUAAGUACCCCGAGGAAAAGAAAUCAACCGAGAUUCCGAAAGUAGCGGCGAGCGAAAUUGGACUAGCCCUUAAGCUUUACACGCGUUAGACGAACGGUCUGGAAAGUCCGACGAUACAGGGUGAUAGUCCCGUAGUUGACGACGUGUGUUCAGUGAAAUCGAGUAGGGCGGGACACGUGAUAUCCUGUCUGAAUAUGGGGGGACCAUCCUCCAAGGCUAAAUACUACUGACUGACCGAUAGUGAACCAGUACCGGGAGGGAAAGGCGAAAAGAACCCCUGUGAGGGGAGUGAAAUAGAACCUGAAACCGUGUACGUACAAGCAGUAGGAGCAGGCUU
Molecule: ribosomal RNA, 542 nt
Filed under: Vibrio parahaemolyticus
Lineage: Bacteria; Pseudomonadati; Pseudomonadota; Gammaproteobacteria; Vibrionales; Vibrionaceae
Description: bacterial LSU rRNA
Rfam family: Bacterial large subunit ribosomal RNA
Source: RNAcentral